CUCCUCUGACUUCUGACUGCAAUUCAAUAAACACCGAGCUUUCAAAAUCUUGCUUAUGCAUGAGAAUAAGUACAUGCUGAUAAAGCUGCAUGGUAUGACAUGCUAAAGAGUUACCUCAUGCUUGGGUCCUAACAAGCACCACUAUAGGAUGCCCUGUGUAAUUGUACUGUAAAAAGAUUAACCCAAAAUGCAAUAAAGUAAAAUAACAACAAACAAGGGAAG
RNAcentral lists this long non-coding RNA (222 nucleotides) under Elaeis guineensis (African oil palm). Its description in RNAcentral is "long non-coding RNA (EGUI_LNC039500)". The record is from RNAcentral. Lineage: Eukaryota; Viridiplantae; Streptophyta; Magnoliopsida; Arecales; Arecaceae.